This 321-nucleotide ribosomal RNA is filed under the name uncultured bacterium. Its description in RNAcentral is "bacterial SSU rRNA". It matches the Rfam family "Bacterial small subunit ribosomal RNA", at positions 191 to 507 of the family's 1533-position model. The record is from RNAcentral.
GGAGGGGGAUCGCAAGACCUCUCGCUAUUGGAGCGGCCGAUAUCAGAUUAGCUAGUUGGUGGGGUAAAGGCCUACCAAGGCAACGAUCUGUAGUUGGUCUGAGAGGACGACCAGCCACACUGGGACUGAGACACGGCCCAGACUCCUACGGGAGGCAGCAGUGGGGAAUUUUGGACAAUGGGCGCAAGCCUGAUCCAGCAAUGCCGCGUGCAGGAAGAAGGCCUUCGGGUUGUAAACUGCUUUUGUCAGGGAAGAAAUCUUCUGGGCUAAUACCCCGGGAGGAUGACGGUACCUGAAGAAUAAGCACCGGCUAACUACGUG